This is a long non-coding RNA of Triticum aestivum (bread wheat), 1830 nucleotides long. RefSeq lists it as uncharacterized. The transcript is spliced from 3 exons. The record is from RefSeq and is a predicted model, not a curated record. Lineage: Eukaryota; Viridiplantae; Streptophyta; Magnoliopsida; Poales; Poaceae.
GUUCCUUCCUGAGCCGUGCCCGUGAGCCGGUAUCCGUGACGGCCACCUGCCCCAACCCUCGAUAAUUGCAUCCCCACCCAUGCUCCCCCUCACAACCCACACAGCUCCAAAGAAAUCCCCAUCGCCGCCGCUCCCUCCCACCUUGUUCACUCGCCGCCAUGUCCGCCGCGUCAUCCUCCCCUCUCACCGUCCCAACUGACUUCCUGCUCCCUCUCAACCCGGUAUCCUUUUUGCGGUGACGAGAUCGCGACGAACUUCGCAAGGACGGGAGACAAGUUGGGUCAUUGGUUCUACAAGUGUAGAAAGUACGAUGCCCUCCAGUGCCGAUUCUUCGAUGCCAGAAGACGUACGUGAGGAGGCUAACUCCGCUUCAGCUUGCCCGUGCUUAGAAGCAACAAGCAAGUCGACAUUCACCAAGCCGUGCAGAUGGUCCAUGCUGCCAACCAACCCCCUGUGCAGCAAGGCGAUGGAGGGCAGAUAGCCACCCAAUCCAGUCUUUGCCACCGCGGUCUCGGCCAGGGCAGACUUUGUGUCAAACUGAUCAACUACAAGUCGUCGUUGCAUCCCGUUCCCAAAUGCUUGUAGUUGCCACUCUACUGCUUGCAGCUGCCAAUCCCAUGCUUACCGUGCUUGUCCUUCUGUUUGUAGUCGCCAGGUACUUUGGCUUGGUAAUUAAUGUGUUCAGAGUUGUUUACUGAGUCGCCGUGCAACGGCCAGAAGGCGUCAACCAUGUCAGGGUGGCUCCCUGUACCUCAAGCCUGUUUCACCUAAAAUGUCAGGGUAGCUCCCUGUACCUCAGGCGUCAACCGUGCGAACUUUAUUGGCAGCUUCAUAUGUAAUGAUAGUAACUAUGUUCAGUAUGCUUGUUACUGGCUGUCAUUGAAAUUAAUUCUGCGUAAUGAAAAUUCUUAUUGUUAUGCUAUUACACAAUUUGUUAUAUAAGAGAACUGUCCCUUAUGUCUUUGUUGAUCAGUUCUAUACAAAUUCUGCCCUGGCCGACCAAUAUGGGGUUGCACAUAGACUGAAGUAGCAAAUGUAUUAUAUAUUACUAGUAUUAUUUUUCAUUUCAGUUUGUUAACACAAAUAUUUCUUUAUUAUUUUGCUUCACUAGUGAUACAUAGGGCAUUGAUAUUUGAAAGGUGCAUAAGCUAUUAAGCUUCCACACCAACAGUCGAUGGGAACAACUAGAAUCAUGCAUUGAUGUCUCGAAACAUUUUCUGCACUUGAAAGUAGUGAGAGUAUGUAACCAGUUACUUUGUCGGCAUUUAACAAAUCGAAGAAGAUAUGCACCAGGUUUUUCAGGUUAAUUUUCUGCAGUCAUACAUAUCAAGUUGUUCCAUUCGGAAUGCAAAUCUUUUUCUGCAAGCACCAGCGACUACGGCUUCGGCGAUGACUGUCGUUUCCUCCAUCACUUCCCACCAUGGACACGAUCAGGCUAUUUACGAAAAAAGAUGAACAAUUGGACCUAGGCGGUGAGGGGGAGCUCGGGAAGCCAAUGUGUCUUGCCAGCACCUUCAAGACCAGGCUAUGCAUGAGCUUUGUCGCCGGUGGAGGCCACUUGGCCUAUGGCAAAGUUGAGCUACGCAGGUCAAACGCAUCUUCAGAAGUCCAAGAUCAAGUGGUUUUCAUGGUGUUUGUGAUGAUCGUGUGUCUGCUAUUUUGCAGAAAUGCCUAAAUAGAAGGUUGUCUAUUCUUGUUGUAGUCCAUUUUUUCGGUUCAAUGAAGGCAUGAUAGGCAAGGCAAGAAAAAUGGAUUGAACAGGAACUCACUGUAUCUCUUAUUUUAUUCCUCGAAUUCUAACUGAACAAUACAAUUCUUUAUGUUGCUGGA